Molecule: long non-coding RNA, 500 nt
Organism: Cydia fagiglandana
Lineage: Eukaryota; Metazoa; Arthropoda; Insecta; Lepidoptera; Tortricidae
Exons: 3
Source: RefSeq, a predicted model, not a curated record
GCUGCGCCUAACAUUGUAUUUUUAGGAUCCAACUGAUGUCAGAAGAGAGGAGAGUUUCUUAGUGUAGAAAUCGUGCAACCCAAUUUUUGUCUACGUCUACCCCAAACUUAAACGCCAAUGGAUAAUUUUUCCUGGCAAUGAACGGUCCCGGUGAUCUGUUGCCAGAGGGUUUCAGGAGGAAUAUGGGCUGCGGUAUAUCUUGCAGUCGACUGCACUCAAGUGAAAUGGUUUCUUCCACCACUGCCACAUGGAUUACAAUAUCUUAAUACGUAAAGGCGUAUACUAAUUGUACAGCUAGUAUUUAAGUUUAAAUUAUAGUUUCGCAUAAAAAGUAAGUAGUUCAAUAUUAAUCAUGAAAUCCUAAUCACAGGCCACAAUAUUACAUACAAUUAAAUCAAGAAAUAUAUAAACACUAUGGAACAAUAUUACCUACAGACUUCUUUUCAAGAUUAUUUAUUAAGUGAAAAAUCAAUCAGGUUCCAUAGCACUCCCGUGCAACG